This 253-nucleotide ribosomal RNA is filed under the name uncultured bacterium. Its description in RNAcentral is "partial 16S ribosomal RNA". It matches the Rfam family "Bacterial small subunit ribosomal RNA", at positions 524 to 776 of the family's 1533-position model. The record is from RNAcentral.
GACGGAGGAUGCAAGCGUUAUCCGGAAUGAUUGGGCGUAAAGCGUCCGCAGGUGGCAGUUCAAGUCUGCUGUCAAAGACCGGGGCUUAACUUCGGAAAGGCAGUGGAAACUGAACAGCUAGAGUAUGGUAGGGGCAGAGGGAAUUCCUGGUGUAGCGGUGAAAUGCGUAGAUAUCAGGAAGAACACCGGUGGCGAAGGCGGGUCUCUGGGCCGAUACUGACGCUGAGGAGCGAAAGCGUGGGGAGCGAACAGG